CUUGCCUGACCCAUAAUGGCUUACAAGGCAUUUCUAAGACUGUACCUCACACUCACACAGUUGCACCAAAUGAAAAUUAAAGGGACAUUAUAAUCAUCAGAACAACUACAGCUUAAAGGACCACUAUAGUGCCAGGAAAACAUACUCGUUUUCCUGGCACUAUAGUGCCCUGAGGUUGCCCCCACCCUCAGGGACCCCCUCCCGCCCGGCUCUGGAAAGGGG
Non-coding RNA from Pelobates cultripes (western spadefoot toad), 222 nucleotides. The record is from the annotation of a GenBank genome assembly. Lineage: Eukaryota; Metazoa; Chordata; Amphibia; Anura; Pelobatidae.